GAUGCCGUAGCUGAAGUUACCUGCCUGCUGUGCGGUGACGGCCUCGCAGUAGCUGUACGCGGCGAGCACCGGUGCGGACGCGGUCGGCGUUCC
This 93-nucleotide transfer RNA is filed under the name Streptomyces netropsis. RNAcentral's name for it is "tRNA-Arg". The record is from RNAcentral. Lineage: Bacteria; Bacillati; Actinomycetota; Actinomycetes; Kitasatosporales; Streptomycetaceae.